AUUGAACGCUGGCGGCAGGCCUAACACAUGCAAGUCGAGCGGUAACACAGAGGAGCUUGCUCCUUGGGUGACGAGCGGCGGACGGGUGAGUAAUGCCUGGGGAUCUGCCCGAUAGAGGGGGAUAACUACGGGAAACUGUAGCUAAUACCGCAUAAUGUCUACGGACCAAAGUGGGGGAUCUUCGGACCUCAUGCUAUCGGAUGAACCCAGGUGGGAUUAGCUAGUUGGUGAGGUAAUGGCUCACCAAGGCGACGAUCUCUAACUGGUUUGAGAGAAUGACCAGUCACACUGGAACUGAGACACGGUCCAGACUCCUACGGGAGGCAGCAGUGGGGAAUAUUGCACAAUGGGCGCAAGCCUGAUGCAGCCAUGCCGCGUGUGUGAAGAAGGCCUUCGGGUUGUAAAGCACUUUCAGCGGGGAGGAAGGGUCACUAGUUAAUACCUAGUGGCAUUGACGUUACUCGCAGAAGAAGCACCGGCUAACUCCGUGCCAGCAGCCGCGGUAAUACGGAGGGUGCAAGCGUUAAUCGGAAUUACUGGGCGUAAAGCGCACGCAGGCGGUUUGUUAAGUCANAUGUGAAAUCCCCGAGCUCAACUUGGGAACUGCAUUUGAAACUGGCAAGCUAGAGUCUUGUAGAGGGGGGUAGAAUUCC
This 653-nucleotide ribosomal RNA is filed under the name uncultured prokaryote. RNAcentral's name for it is "bacterial SSU rRNA". It matches the Rfam family "Bacterial small subunit ribosomal RNA", at positions 28 to 670 of the family's 1533-position model. The record is from RNAcentral.